RNAcentral lists this transfer RNA (58 nucleotides) under Ictidomys tridecemlineatus (thirteen-lined ground squirrel). Its description in RNAcentral is "Spermophilus tridecemlineatus (thirteen-lined ground squirrel) tRNA". It matches the Rfam family "tRNA", at positions 8 to 63 of the family's 71-position model. From Rfam's summary of the family: Transfer RNA (tRNA) molecules are approximately 80 nucleotides in length. Their secondary structure includes four short double-helical elements and three loops (D, anti-codon, and T loops). The record is from Rfam by way of RNAcentral. Lineage: Eukaryota; Metazoa; Chordata; Mammalia; Rodentia; Sciuridae.
UAGCUCAACAGUAAGAGUGCUUGCCUAGCAUGCAUGAGGCCCUGGGUUCAAUCCCCGG